Callorhinus ursinus (northern fur seal) is the source of this 1087-nucleotide long non-coding RNA. RefSeq lists it as uncharacterized. The record is from RefSeq and is a predicted model, not a curated record. NCBI's taxonomy places the organism in Eukaryota, Metazoa, Chordata, Mammalia, Carnivora, Otariidae.
UCUCUUCCCAUCUUUCUCUUUCUCCCUGGGUCUUGUCCCACAGGGGGGAGCUCGGAUGGAGGCUCUGCUGUCCCGGUCCCAUCCAGGAUUUGCCCCCUCUGGGAAAGCUAAGCUAAGGGGAAGCAGCAGGCUCUGAACCCCCUCCCGCCCGUCCCGAGAACACCCUCCUGGCUUCACCAGGCCCCCAGGGCUGUGUGCCCCAAACAGCAGCGAGGACGUGCUGGGGUAUGUAACUGGCAGACCCCCGCUGGCCGAGGACCCCCAGUUUAGAGGAGGACAUAGUUACCCAGCAUGUCUUCCAGUGGCCAGUGUCGUGGUGCAGAGAAUAUGAGAAUAAACAGCCUCCCUUGAGAGGGCUGCAGGGAGAUGGUGGCUCAGGACCAGAAGAGGAGGAAACAUUCCAAGAAGAACUUGAAAACAGGGGAGUGUGCUGACUGGCACAAGAGCUCCUGAGUGCAUUGUGCAAGAGAAGAGGGGAGGGGUACAGCAGAGGAAGGCAAAACCUGUCUGCUCAAGAAAUGGUGCCGCCAGCCUCUGAGAGACACAGGGAGGAGAGAAUCACCCAGCAGGGGGAGAGGGCCUCAUUCUAGACCUCCCUGGGGCCUGCUUUUUAUCCUUGCCCUGAUUGAGCCGGCUCCUCAAUACCACCUUUCGCCAAGCUGAUUCAAGUUCAGUUCAGCUCAUUCUUCCUCAGGCCAUCUUGAAAACCCAAAUCAUCCACCCUUGAAUCUGCUUUUUUCAUCUCCUUUCUAACAGCUCUACCCGUUACCUCAGGAGUCCUUUCCCCACCGUUUACUGUCUGCCCAAACAAUCCCGGCUGACUGUCAGGAUGGAGCCAGGCUUGCCCCUGUGUCAAGAAAAAGGCAGACUGCAUGUCAGAAAGAUUAAUUAGAAUGAUGAAGAACAAAGGCUUUCAGCCUCUAAAGCCCCUGAAGAACAGCUCGAAGUUCCCUCAGAACGUCCCACCCUUCUCCUUCUACUCCUGUUAAGAAACCUGCUUUCCCUCAAGCACCAGCUUUCAAGAGAAAAUAAACAGACUUUUCUAGAUCAGCAUUAUUGUUUUUCCAUUUCUACCUACAGGUCUUGC